CGUGUAGGCGGUUGGGUAAGUCAGAUGUGAAAGCCUUCUGCUUAACAGAAGAAGUGCAUUUGAAACUGCUCGGCUAGAGUACGGGAGAGGAGAGUGGAAUUCCCGGUGUAGAGGUGAAAUUCGUAGAUAUCGGGAGGAACACCAAUGGCGAAGGCGGCUCUCUGGUCCGAUACUGACGCUGAGACGCGAAAGCGUGGGGAGCAAACAGGAUUAGAUACCCUGGUAGUCCACGCCGUAAACGAUGGGCACUAGGUGUAGGAGGUAUUGACCCCUUCUGUGCCGAAGCUAACGCAUUAAGUGCCCCGCCUGGGGAGUACGGCCGCAAGGCUAAA
RNAcentral lists this ribosomal RNA (332 nucleotides) under uncultured bacterium. RNAcentral's name for it is "bacterial SSU rRNA". It matches the Rfam family "Bacterial small subunit ribosomal RNA", at positions 568 to 898 of the family's 1533-position model. The record is from RNAcentral.